This 495-nucleotide ribosomal RNA is filed under the name uncultured bacterium. RNAcentral's name for it is "partial 16S ribosomal RNA". It matches the Rfam family "Bacterial small subunit ribosomal RNA", at positions 28 to 507 of the family's 1533-position model. The record is from RNAcentral.
GACGAACGCUGGCGGCGUGCCUAAUACAUGCAAGUAGAGCGCUGAAGGAGGAGCUUGCUUCUCUGGAUGAGUUGCGAACGGGUGAGUAACGCGUAGGUAACCUGCCUGGUAGCGGGGGAUAACUAUUGGAAACGAUAGCUAAUACCGCAUAAGAGUAGAUGUUGCAUGACAUUUUCUUAAAAGGUGCAAUUGCAUCACUACCAGAUGGACCUGCGUUGUAUUAGCUAGUUGGUGGGGUAACGGCUCACCAAGGCGACGAUACAUAGCCGACCUGAGAGGGUGAUCGGCCACACUGGGAAUGAGACACGGCCCAGACUCCUACGGGAGGCAGCAGUAGGGAAUCUUCGGCAAUGGACGGAAGUCUGACCGAGCAACGCCGCGUGAGUGAAGAAGGUUUUCGGAUCGUAAAGCUCUGUUGUAAGAGAAGAAAGAGUGUGAGAGUGGAAAGUUCACACUGUGACGGUAUCUUACCAGAAAGGGACGGCUAACUACGUG